AGUUUGCCGUACGAAACGUAAAUGUACCUCCACCACUCCUAAACCAAAUUCAAUCUGACUCACAUCAUGAAUCAAACUCCACUCACAAAUAAGUGCGCACUAUCAACAACAAGCCAAUAAAUUGAAAAGCAAAUUCGGUCAUGCUUUUUCAUGGUUAUUAAUUAAAACCUAUAUAUGUUUCAUUCAUUCAGGUGAAAUGAGAGUCAAAACAACAGAUACAGAAGAAAAAUGGAAAUUGAAGAGACACCAUACAUUGGAUUCCCAUUGGGUUUAGCUCUUCUUGUUUUCUUGUUAUUCUUCAUUUGUUGUUUCUUUUGUUGUUGUUUAUAUUGGGACAAACUCCAAUUUUUAUUUCCAUCUUCUGUGGUUAAUGUUAUUAUCAACCCACAACCUCGUAUACAACCAGAAUUUGCUUCCUCUCACCACAAACCAGGAUUUCCUGUUUUGAUGAUGAAGGAGAAUCAUGAUCAAAGCUUGCCUGUGUUGAUGCCAGGAGAUAUGGUUCCAAAAUUCAUAGCUUUGGCAUGCCCAUGUAAGGCUGGCUCCAACGGAUGAAAAAAAAAUCACAAUCCAUGUGCAGCAGAAUGAAUAAUUUAUGUGUUGAUAGGGUGGGUUGGGCUCUGUUCUGUAUAGUCUCUUUUGAUUCAGGUGUUGAUAUUUUUUCCCGUAGUUUCCUAAACAGCACAAAUGAAAUUAUAUACUCAAAUUAGGGGGGUUAAUUAUUAAUACUACCACUUUUCUUUUCUUUUUCUUCGUAGCCUAUAUUUUUUUGAAAGUUUAUUUUUACAAGUGUUAGUUUUUAAGAUACAUUUUACUCUCUAAAAAUGAACUUUGACAA
Medicago truncatula (barrel medic) is the source of this 838-nucleotide long non-coding RNA. RefSeq lists it as uncharacterized. The transcript has 2 exons. The record is from RefSeq and is a predicted model, not a curated record. Lineage: Eukaryota; Viridiplantae; Streptophyta; Magnoliopsida; Fabales; Fabaceae.